This 494-nucleotide ribosomal RNA is filed under the name uncultured bacterium. Its description in RNAcentral is "bacterial SSU rRNA". It matches the Rfam family "Bacterial small subunit ribosomal RNA", at positions 903 to 1397 of the family's 1533-position model. The record is from RNAcentral.
AAAGGAAUAGACGGGGGCCCGCACAAGCAGCGGAGCAUGUGGUUUAAUUCGAAGCAACGCGAAGAACCUUACCAGGUCUUGACAUCCAGGUAAAGCUUGAGAGAUCAGGUGUGCCUUCGGGCGAUCUGAGACAGGUGGUGCAUGGUUGUCGUCAGCUCGUGUCGUGAGAUGUUGGGUUAAGUCCCGCAACGAGCGCAACCCUUGCUGAUAGUUACUAACACGUAGAGGUGAGGACUCUAUCGGGACCGCCGGGGACAACUCGGAGGAAGGUGGGGACGACGUCAAAUCAUCAUGCCCCUUAUGACCUGGGCUACACACGUGCUACAAUGGCCGAGACAGAGAGGAGCGAAGGCGCAAGCCGGAGCGGAUCUCAAAAAGGCGGCCACAGUUCGGAUUGUGGGCUGCAACCCGCCCACAUGAAGCCGGAGUUGCUAGUAAUCGCGAAUCAGCAUGUCGCGGUGAAUACGUUCCCGGGCCUUGUACACACCGCCCGU